GAUGAACGCUCGCUACAGGCUUAACACAUGCAAGUCGAGGGGAAACGGCAUCGAAAGCUUGCUUUUGAUGGGCGUCGACCGGCGCACGGGUGAGUAACGCGUAUCCAACCUGCCCAUCACUUGGGAAUAACCUUGCGAAAGUAAGACUAAUGCCCAAUGACAUCCCACGAAGGCAUCCGAAUGGGAUUAAAGAUUUAUCGGUGAUGGAUGGGGAUGCGUCUGAUUAGCUUGUUGGCGGGGUGACGGCCCACCAAGGCAACGAUCAGUAGGGGUUCUGAGAGGAAGGGCCCCCACAUUGGAACUGAGACACGGUCCAAACUCCUACGGGAGGCAGCAGUGAGGAAUAUUGGUCAAUGGGCGAGAGCCUGAACCAGCCAAGUAGCGUGCAGGAUGACGGCCCUAUGGGUUGUAAACUGCUUUUAUAAGGGAAUAAAGUGGGUCACGUGUGACUUUUUGCAUGUACCUUAUGAAUAAGGACCGGCUAAUUCCGUG
RNAcentral lists this ribosomal RNA (492 nucleotides) under uncultured bacterium. RNAcentral describes it as "partial 16S ribosomal RNA". It matches the Rfam family "Bacterial small subunit ribosomal RNA", at positions 28 to 507 of the family's 1533-position model. The record is from RNAcentral.